AUGUUCACUUCAGCAGCAGGUAUACUAAAUUUGGAAUGAUAUGGAUUAGCAUGGUCCCUGUACAAGAACACACAAAUUCGUGAAGCUACUCAUGUUUUG
This is a small nuclear RNA of Mesocricetus auratus (golden hamster), 99 nucleotides long. The record is from Ensembl. Lineage: Eukaryota; Metazoa; Chordata; Mammalia; Rodentia; Cricetidae.